AGCGUAGACGGAAUGGCAAGUCUGAUGUGAAAGGCCGGGGCUCAACCCCGGGACUGCAUUGGAAACUGUCAAUCUAGAGUACCGGAGGGGUAAGUGGAAUUCCUAGUGUAGCGGUGAAAUGCGUAGAUAUUAGGAGGAACACCAGUGGCGAAGGCGGCUUACUGGACGGUAACUGACGUUGAGGCUCGAAAGCGUGGGGAGCAAACAAG
This 209-nucleotide ribosomal RNA is filed under the name uncultured bacterium. Its description in RNAcentral is "partial 16S ribosomal RNA". It matches the Rfam family "Bacterial small subunit ribosomal RNA", at positions 568 to 776 of the family's 1533-position model. The record is from RNAcentral.